Molecule: ribosomal RNA, 451 nt
Filed under: Escherichia coli
Lineage: Bacteria; Pseudomonadati; Pseudomonadota; Gammaproteobacteria; Enterobacterales; Enterobacteriaceae
Also listed under: 1 other name
Description: bacterial SSU rRNA
Rfam family: Bacterial small subunit ribosomal RNA
Source: RNAcentral
UGUCGUCAGCUCGUGUUGUGAAAUGUUGGGUUAAGUCCCGCAACGAGCGCAACCCUUAUCCUUUGUUGCCAGCGGUCCGGCCGGGAACUCAAAGGAGACUGCCAGUGAUAAACUGGAGGAAGGUGGGGAUGACGUCAAGUCAUCAUGGCCCUUACGACCAGGGCUACACACGUGCUACAAUGGCGCAUACAAAGAGAAGCGACCUCGCGAGAGCAAGCGGACCUCAUAAAGUGCGUCGUAGUCCGGAUUGGAGUCUGCAACUCGACUCCAUGAAGUCGGAAUCGCUAGUAAUCGUGGAUCAGAAUGCCACGGUGAAUACGUUCCCGGGCCUUGUACACACCGCCCGUCACACCAUGGGAGUGGGUUGCAAAAGAAGUAGGUAGCUUAACCUUCGGGAGGGCGCUUACCACUUUGUGAUUCAUGACUGGGGUGAAGUCGUAACAAGGUAACC